Molecule: ribosomal RNA, 969 nt
Filed under: Lobophora nigrescens
Lineage: Eukaryota; Phaeophyceae; Dictyotales; Dictyotaceae
Description: LSU rRNA
Rfam family: Eukaryotic large subunit ribosomal RNA
Source: RNAcentral
UUAAGCAUAUAACUAAGCGGAGGAAAAGAAACUAACCAGGAUUCCCCCAGUAACGGCGAGUGAAGCGGGAAGAGCUCAUGUUUGAAAUCCAGCUCCCGUGGGUGCUGGAGUUGUAACCUAGAGGUGCGUGAUCGCCUGCCGGUGGGGCCGCGGCUAAGUCCGAUUUGAAAAGGGCACCAAGGAGGGUGGCAGUCCCGUUCGUGCCGCAGUCCUGCCGGCGAUGUGGCCCGCUUCCAACGAGUCGAGUUGCUUGGGAUUGCAGCUCAAAGUGGGUGGUAAACUCCAUCCAAAGCUAAACACGGGUGGGAGACCGAUAGCGAACAAGUACCGUGAGGGAAAGAUGCAAAGAACUUUGAAAAGAGAGUCAAAGAGUGCCUGAAAUUGCUGAGAGGGAAGCGAAGGAAAGUAGUGUCGAUCGUGGGGAUCUCGCACACGGGGAGCGGCCCGAUGGGCCCUCUCCCGUUAUCCCCCGCACUGUCAGGGGCGGGUGUGGCACGGCAGGACAGCGUCGAAGGUAAAGGUGUUCCGAGGUAACAGCCGGACGAAUGCAGGGUACUUAAGUGUACAUUUUUCGCGUCUGCUCGCACCAUCGACCGACCACGGUACCAAGAGAUCGAGGUUUGAGUGUGAGCGUGCAUGUUGGGACCCGAAAGAUGGUGAACUAUGCCUGAGUAGGGCGAAGCCAGGGGAAACUCUGGUGGAGGCUCGUAGCGAUUCUGACGUGCAAAUCGAUCGUGGGAUUUGGGUAUAGGGGCGAAAGACUAAUCGAACCAUCUAGUAGCUGGUUCCCUCCGAAAUUUCCCUCAGGAUAGCUGCAACCUUUGUAACCAGUUUUAUCAGGUAAAGCGAAUGAUUAGAGGCUGCGGGGGAGUAACUCCCUCGCCCUAUUCUCAAACUUUAAAUGGGUAAGCCACCGGGGUCGCUUAGUUGGACUCGCGGUUUGGGUUGAAUGAUGGUUGUUAGUGGGCC